UUGUCUGCAGGUCACAGAGCUGGACACUGCCGUGGUCACUCACCUUCUCAUGGCCAGUGUUUGUCCUUAGCAGAUGAACUGGAUCUGAAUAUCAUUGCGGUGAGAUUUGCGAUAGCAAAAGACACAUUAGCAUGGGAAAACACACAUGGUAGUGCGUGAAGUUCAGCAGCAGUGCAUUACACACAGGCGUUUUCUACUUCUUACUCUGCGGUUUGCUAAUUAGGAACAAUCAGUUCUUUUUAGCCCACCCUUAAGUUAAUGUAACUGAGCUUUGAGAGAUGGCUGGACCAGUUCUCUCUCCACCAUAGAUGCGUGAUCCCUAGUUAGAAGAACACAGGAUCCGGCCCAGCAGGGAGGGCCGUGGAGGAAAUCUGACCUGCAGGGAGGACCGGCUGCCCACAUGGAUGUCCACGGCUUGCUGGACAAAUCUGUCCCGUCACGUGGUUUAGGUCACUGCAGAAGCACAAGCCAUACAUACCCUGUGAGCAGGAAGUGACAGAGUUGUCUACGGGGCAGUAGCUGUCCCUGCCCACUCAGUAAAUGUAUCUGUAUUUUAAGGCUAACCACUCGAGCCCUGCGACUGUUCUCCUCACGCAUAUGGAGGUGUUUGUUUCAGGGGAUUGUUCAGUGUCAUCAAGCAGUCACCCAAGGCCCGAGACAAACCCCAAACCAAAUCCUCCUGCACUGUACAGUGUGCGCUUCAGCAUUCCAAAGACAGGCGGUCCCCACUCGUAUCCCUUCCCCUAAAGCUAUUUAUAUGUUCUAUAUGUAAAUACCGGUGUACAUAGACGGAUAUGCGGUCUGUGUGUACAUAGACGGAGAUGCAGGUUCUGUGUGCAUAGACAGACAGAUACACGUGGGCUCUGCAUAGACGAGGAGUCCGUCUUGUAAAUAGAAGCAGGAGUCCGGUCUCACAGAGUAUCUGCGGCCACUCCCUGGUGCACCUCAGACCCGUGUCCUGCUCACUGUUAAUAAAUGGAUAUCUUUUUCACUGUAACAUAAAGCUGGGCUCUAUUUUUUUUUUUUUCUGAAAAGAAAAUUGCCUUUAUUUUCUCUCAUUGCCUCCUUGGUUUCAGAAGAGAGCAGUUUAUUAUAUAUAUUCCGUGGACUUGUUCACUAAGAGAAUGUCCUGAAGAGACACUUCACUGUUCAUGUGAAAGGGCGUCUUCUGAUUUCUUCACGUUUGUCUCUGUAUAUACAUAAUAUUGACAGUGACAUAAAAACUUUUGUUAUGUGAAAAUAUUUAAGUCAGAGAACUGUUAAAUAUUAUUACUUUUUUCCAAACUGAUUUGUGUAUUAUAUAUUUUUUUAAGAAGAAAAAAGCCUUACUUGACUUCUUGUAAUACUGGACUUAAAAACCCAAGGCCCCCUGAAUGUCGGUGUGCACACCUGGCUGUGGUAGUGUUUUCAGAAUAAUUGUAAUUGUGCGAGAGUUUUAAAGUCUCUGCUAUUAAUGCACUUUUUAUUUUAUAAUUUUGUAUUAAAAUAUUUUAGAAAUAUUAAUUAAUUUUAGUGAACAGGUAUCCCCAAAAUUGAAAUUAUUGGAUUUAAAUCUUUGUGCUCUACCUGGGUUAUUUAUUUUCCUUUCAGCAUUAACUGUCACCUCAGGACAUCUGUAAGCAGUUGGCUGCCUCCUGGCUGCGCAGUGCAUGCCGGGCGCUGGCUGUGCAGUCACCGACCUAUGUAAGUACGGCCUGACCAGGGGAAGCUGAAGCCUGAUUUUACUUUGGUUAAGGAAAAGAAAAUCUACCAGUAACCCAUUUUGUGUCUUUUCUCAGUUUAUUAGCAAACAAGUAUGACAUGUGUGUAUUUUGAUUUACUUCCUUACCAUCAAAGCUGCUUCUUUACCAACAUUCCUUGAGAAGACAAGGGUAUGAGAAGACCACUCACUUGAAUAUUGUGGUUUACAGGUUGAGCUCUGUAUCUUAAUGUUUGAAAUGCUGUGUUAGGAAAGUGGUUUCUAGCCUCAUGUGUAACCAGGGUUUUGAGGAUAGAGAACUGUAUUUUUAGAACUCUAUAUAACAUAACUGUUUUGAAAUAACUAAAUGCAAAAUGACAUU
This 2060-nucleotide long non-coding RNA is filed under the name Rattus norvegicus (Norway rat). RNAcentral's name for it is "long non-coding RNA NONRATT013965". The record is from RNAcentral. Lineage: Eukaryota; Metazoa; Chordata; Mammalia; Rodentia; Muridae.